UACGUAGGGGGCAAGCGUUGUCCGGAAUUAUUGGGCGUAAAGAGCGUGUAGGCGGCCAGAUAAGUCCGCUGUGAAAUCUCGAGGCUCAACUUCGAGCUGUCGGUGGAAACUAUCUGGCUAGAGUCCGGAAGAGGAGAAUGGAAUUCCUGGUGUAGCGGUGAAAUGCGCAGAUAUCAGGAAGAACACCCGUGGCGAAGGCGGUUCUCUGGGACGGUACUGACGCUGAGGAGCGAAAGCGUGGGGAGCGAACAGG
This 253-nucleotide ribosomal RNA is filed under the name uncultured bacterium. Its description in RNAcentral is "partial 16S ribosomal RNA". It matches the Rfam family "Bacterial small subunit ribosomal RNA", at positions 524 to 776 of the family's 1533-position model. The record is from RNAcentral.